RNAcentral lists this ribosomal RNA (92 nucleotides) under Avibacterium gallinarum. The record is from RNAcentral. Lineage: Bacteria; Pseudomonadati; Pseudomonadota; Gammaproteobacteria; Pasteurellales; Pasteurellaceae.
CCACCUAACUCCAUGCCGAACUUAGAAGUGAAACGCUGUAACGCCGAUGGUAGUGUGGGAGUUUCCCAUGUGAGAGUAGGACACCGCCAGGU